GGGUUGAAGCAUGACCGUAAGGACAUGUGGACAGUAUGGGAGUGAGAAUGUUGGCAUGAGUAGCGAGAUGUGGGUGAGAAUCCCACAGGCCGUAAACCCAAGGUUUCCAGGGGAAGGUUCGUCCGCCCUGGGUUAGUCGGGACCUAAGCUGAGGCCGAAAGGCGUAGGUGAUGGACAACAGGUUGAUAUUCCUGUACUACCGAUAACCGUUUGAGAGAAGGGAUGACACAGUAGGAUAAGCUAAGCACACUGUUGGUUAUGUGUGCCCAAGCAUUGAGGCAGUCAAAGUAGGCAAAUCCGCUUUGAUAAUGCUGGGAUGUGAUGGGGAGCGAAAUUUAGUAGCGAAGUAGCUGAUUUCACACUGUCAAGAAAAGUCUCUAUCGAGGUUAAAGGUACCCGUACCGCAAACCGACACAGGUGGGUGAGGAGAGUAUCCUAAGGCCAGCGAGAGAACUGUUGUUAAGGAACUCGGCAAAAUGACCCCGUAACUUAGGGAUAAGGGGUGCCACCAUCAGGUGGCCGCAGAGAAUAGGCCCAAGCGACUGUUUACCAAAAACAUAGGUUUCUGCUAAGUCGCAAGACGAUGUAUAGGAGCUGACGCCUGCCCGGUGCUGGAAGGUUAAGGGGAUCUGUUAGAGCAAUCGAAGCAGUGAACUUAAGCCCCAGUAAACGGCGGCCGUAACUAUAACGGUCCUAAGGUAGCGAAAUUCCUUGUCGGGUAAGUUCCGACCCGCACGAAAGGCGUAACGAUUUGGGCACUGUCUCAACAACAGACUCGGUGAAAUUGUAAUUCCGGUGAAGAUGCCGGAUACCUGCGACAGGACGGAAAGACCCCAUGGAGCUUUACUGUAGCUUGACAUUGGGUCUUGGUACUACAUGUACAGGAUAGGUGGGAGGCUUUGAAACCAGGACGCCAGUUUUGGCGGAGCCAUCCUUGGGAUACCACCCUUGUAGUACUGGGACUCUAACCAUAGGCCAUGAAUCUGGUCUUGGGACACUGUCA
This 1003-nucleotide ribosomal RNA is filed under the name Clostridioides difficile. RNAcentral's name for it is "bacterial LSU rRNA". It matches the Rfam family "Bacterial large subunit ribosomal RNA", at positions 1247 to 2259 of the family's 2925-position model. The record is from RNAcentral. Lineage: Bacteria; Bacillati; Bacillota; Clostridia; Peptostreptococcales; Peptostreptococcaceae.